Molecule: transfer RNA, 76 nt
Filed under: bacterium
Lineage: Bacteria
Also listed under: 4 other names
Description: tRNA-Phe
Rfam family: tRNA
About the family: Transfer RNA (tRNA) molecules are approximately 80 nucleotides in length. Their secondary structure includes four short double-helical elements and three loops (D, anti-codon, and T loops).
Source: RNAcentral
GCCGAGGUAGCUCAGUUGGUAGAGCAGUGGACUGAAAAUCCUCGUGUCGGCAGUUCGAUUCUGCCCCUCGGCACCA